GUUACAGCUAGGAGAUGAAAAUUUUGAGAAUCUUUAGCAAGUGUCCGCUAAGGAGUCUGCAUAAGGGAUGACAUGCAACCUUCUUUGCUCCCUGGGGAGGCAGUAAUCUGUUCCUGGCUCAUAGCAGAUUACUAAUCCCCCCCUGCAGGAAAACCAAGUUAAUUCUCACGUAUCACCCUCACGUAUCAUCACUUUCACCCCAAUUUAGAUUCAUUCUCUGCAGCAAAUUUAUGUUAAAGGCAUAACCAGAAUGCAGUAGGAACGGCAGCAGGAAAGGAAAAGAACCCUGCACCCAGCAACUCUGCUUUGGUAAAGUUUGUCUUAUCCCUGUACCCUUGCAUUCAUCUUGGCUUUCAUUUCAUCCUACACCUCUUCUCCUCCCCUAUGGUCCUCCUAAUUCACUCUCCAGCCUCCUUUCAACCCUUUCAUGCCAUGUUUGGAAUAGCUUCAGUUUCUGCACGCCAAGCAUCCACCUUACGUUGACUCAUGGGUAGAGCCCUGCAAAUCUGCAGAUGUCCGCUAUAUAUCCACAGACCAUGUUUGUGGAUCGCGGAUCAGAUGCGGAUACAAAUUUUGUGUCCGUGCAGGGCUCUAGUCAUUGGUACAGUGUUACUAGCUGUGUAAUGAUAUUUGAUGUUUUUCUGAAAGCUCUAGCUCCUGGAAUCCAGGGAACAAUUUGAGAAUUUCAGCAUUCAUUAAAAAAAAAAAAAAGGUAAGUUUUGAGCCCUCAUAGUUGCAGAGAAAAGCUUGAAAAUGUGACCUGAGUGCACAUGACAGGGUCAGAAAUCAGAAGGCAAAGGAAAAGCACCCCACAUUUAUUGUUGUUUUAAAAAUCUCAGGAUUUUUAAGCCAAUCUAUGAUUUUUAAGCAUUACUCCUGAUUUUUGAACUUGGGGAUAGUAACAUUGCUGUUGUCUCUGCACCUUCUUGUGCCUGAAUUGUCCUGUGCUUUUUCCUUCCGAGUUAGACCUGAGUUCUGUGAACAGGGAGGCCGCCUUUGCCCAUCUUCUGUACCAGUGCUGCGUGAAUUCUGUAGCCAAAUCCAGCAGUGUAGCUGAGAGCAGAGUUUGAUCUUUUCUUUGUUCACUACCACUUAGACUUGUGGUCUGUCCUCUGUUCACGAAUCCAGUGCCCUGUUUGUUCAUUUUCUGCUGCAUUCAUAUUCCUGGCUGGUGGCUUAAAGGAUUUUCCACAAUAUCCUCUAAAUCCUUUCCUAAUCAGUCCUGACUGCUCUAUUUGCAAUAUACUUGCUGUUCUGGUACAUUGCCUUCACUGUUCAUGUUACACCUUUAUCUACAUUAACUACUUCAUAACUGUGUAACCCAUGGUAUGUGAUGCAAAAUACAUCCUUAGCUCUGUAUCCUUCCCUGAAAGAAUCACAGAGUUGCUUUCUCCUAACACAGAACAAGAAAUUCUCCAAGAAGCAAUAACUACUGUCUCUCUCUGCUGCAUUGCAGUUUCUGCCUAGAACUCCUCCUGCCUGGCUUCCUGAUGGAGGUUUAAAGAAACAGUACAAACACCUGUACACCAUCCAUAAAUGGAGCACUGCUGCUAUUCCAGUGGAACACUGGUACUUUCCGAGAUUGGUAUGAGAGUCUGUUGCAACACGGGUUACCCUGGACACCAGCAGUGAGAGAGAAGCUGCCAGAGCUUCAACAUGACAGCAGUUAGGUCAACCCUCCUUAUCCUGGUCCGCUGACUCGAAUGUCCUAUCCAAACUGUGUUUGCUUAUGUGAUCCUAACCUUUCAUUUCCAUUCUGGUCUCGACAAUCCCCUAUCCCAGGGUCUACCCAGUAGAAUUACUUGGGUCUGGUCUACACUAAUAAGAAAGAGGCCUGUCAGCAAGAAGCUGCUCCCUUGGUCACUCACUCCUUUAGCGCACUCUGCUCCCAUUCCCUACCUGAGCUCUGGAGCUGUUAACCUGGAAAACGCCCAGCCUCUGAACAGCUUGUCCUGGACCCUGUGACCUAGGACGAAACUGAGCCCUUUUUUAAUGAAAAACGAGUGCGAGAGAGAGAGAGAAGAGAUCAACCCUCCACCCUAGAAUAGCCAAGAGGUUCAAGUCCCUGGGCUGCCUCAGGCAAAGCACAGCCUUAAACCUGGGUCUCCCACAUAUAUCCCAGGCAAGUGCCCUAACCACUGGACUACUGGCUGUUCUGGGAGGUGGUGUUUGCAAGGGCCAGCCUAACCCUGAUGACGCCAGCCGUACCUGUUUGGACUUGUAUUUUUUGGCAUAUCGUGGUGAGACAAAGCGUUCCGGUUUCAUGUCCACGCUCUCUGGAUCGGAGA
Molecule: long non-coding RNA, 2288 nt
Organism: Chelonia mydas (Green sea turtle)
Lineage: Eukaryota; Metazoa; Chordata; Testudines; Cheloniidae
Exons: 6
Source: RefSeq, a predicted model, not a curated record